GGGGGCAUAGCUCAGUUGGGAGAGCAGCAGACUGAAGUUCACCUCUUGGUAACCAGUUCUUCUGAAGGUCCCGCGUUCAAUCCGCGGUGCCCCCA
Molecule: non-coding RNA, 95 nt
Organism: Lyophyllum atratum
Lineage: Eukaryota; Fungi; Basidiomycota; Agaricomycetes; Agaricales; Lyophyllaceae
Source: the annotation of a GenBank genome assembly